Annulohypoxylon maeteangense is the source of this 136-nucleotide non-coding RNA. The record is from the annotation of a RefSeq genome assembly. NCBI's taxonomy places the organism in Eukaryota, Fungi, Ascomycota, Sordariomycetes, Xylariales, Hypoxylaceae.
GGCAAGAUGGCCGAGUGGUUAUGGCGGAGGGUUCAAGCACCUACUCAUAUGAAAAUUGUGAUGUAACUUACCUGAUGAAAAUUCAGGACGCUUUCCUCUGGAGCAAUCCGCAGGGGUUCGAAUCCCCUUCUUGUCA